GCAAGCUUCUGCACUUUUUGCUCUUGGAAAGGAAAAUGAGGCACAUAUAGCGCUCCGGGAGGGUUCUGUCCUUGAAAGUAAAAAGAACGCAACAACCUGACAAUUAGAAAAUGAAAGACAAAUUUCUCUCCGUCGAAAUUGUUGUUCUUCUGAAGACAAGAACAGAUCACAGCUUCGUACAUAUUGCAAAACGUGACCUAAGGAUUGACAACAUCUAGAAUAUGAAUGGAGAGAAAUGGAGGUACUUUUACCGCACCAUAAUUCGUUCAUAUUGUCAAGUUCAAGUUUUUAACAUCGCUUCUGGAUGGGUUGGUUUGCUGAGUUUUCUGAGGUUGUUGGUAACUUCCUUUCUUCAAAUUACACUAGUCUUGCCUGCAUUUGUUCCUUUCUUUUGCCUUUAUUUAAUACUAGC
Molecule: unclassified non-coding RNA, 412 nt
Filed under: Hevea brasiliensis (rubber tree)
Lineage: Eukaryota; Viridiplantae; Streptophyta; Magnoliopsida; Malpighiales; Euphorbiaceae
Source: RNAcentral